UCGGCAACGGAUAUCUCGGCUCUCGCAUCGAUGAAGAACGUAGCGAAAUGCGAUACUUGGUGUGAAUUGCAGAAUCCCGUGAACCAUCGAGUCUUUGAACGCAAGUUGCGCCUGAAGCCAUUCGGCCGAAGGCACGUCUGCCUGGGCGUCACGUACCCAAUCGCUCCCCAAAACCCUCCCACAUUUCCACCGAUUUGUGGAGGGCUCGGAGGGCGGAGAUUGGCCUCCCGUGCCGUAACG
RNAcentral lists this ribosomal RNA (240 nucleotides) under Ribes horridum. RNAcentral describes it as "5.8S ribosomal RNA". The stretch from base 1 to 151 matches the Rfam family "5.8S ribosomal RNA". From Rfam's summary of the family: 5.8S ribosomal RNA (5.8S rRNA) is a component of the large subunit of the eukaryotic ribosome. It is transcribed by RNA polymerase I as part of the 45S precursor that also contains 18S and 28S rRNA. The record is from RNAcentral. Lineage: Eukaryota; Viridiplantae; Streptophyta; Magnoliopsida; Saxifragales; Grossulariaceae.